Molecule: transfer RNA, 72 nt
Filed under: Loxodonta africana (African savanna elephant)
Lineage: Eukaryota; Metazoa; Chordata; Mammalia; Proboscidea; Elephantidae
Rfam family: tRNA
About the family: Transfer RNA (tRNA) molecules are approximately 80 nucleotides in length. Their secondary structure includes four short double-helical elements and three loops (D, anti-codon, and T loops). Further hydrogen bonds mediate the characteristic L-shaped molecular structure. tRNAs have two regions of fundamental functional importance: the anti-codon, which is responsible for specific mRNA codon recognition, and the 3' end, to which the tRNAs corresponding amino acid is attached (by aminoacyl-tRNA synthetases). tRNAs cope with the degeneracy of the genetic code in two manners: having more than one tRNA (with a specific anti-codon) for a particular amino acid; and 'wobble' base-pairing, i.e. permitting non-standard base-pairing at the 3rd anti-codon position.
Source: Rfam by way of RNAcentral
AGCCUGUUAGCACAGUGGUUAAGUGCUUGGCUGCUAACUGAAAGGUUGGUGGUUUGAACCCACCAGAUGCUC